UUAAAUUGAAGAGUUUGAUCAUGGCUCAGAUUGAACGCUGGCGGCAGGCCUAACACAUGCAAGUCGAACGGUAACAGGAAACAGCUUGCUGUUUCGCUGACGAGUGGCGGACGGGUGAGUAAUGUCUGGGAAACUGCCUGAUGGAGGGGGAUAACUACUGGAAACGGUAGCUAAUACCGCAUAACGUCGCAAGACCAAAGAGGGG
Molecule: ribosomal RNA, 205 nt
Filed under: Escherichia coli
Lineage: Bacteria; Pseudomonadati; Pseudomonadota; Gammaproteobacteria; Enterobacterales; Enterobacteriaceae
Description: partial 16S ribosomal RNA
Rfam family: Bacterial small subunit ribosomal RNA
Source: RNAcentral